Molecule: ribosomal RNA, 138 nt
Filed under: uncultured eukaryote
Lineage: Eukaryota
Description: partial 18S ribosomal RNA
Rfam family: Eukaryotic small subunit ribosomal RNA
Source: RNAcentral
UGGUGGAGUGAUUUGUCUGCUUAAUUGCGAUAACGAACGAGACCUUAACCUGCUAAAUAGCCAGGCUAGCUUUGGCUGGUCGCCGGCUUCUUAGAGGGACUAUCGGUGUGUAGCCGACGGAAGUUCGAGGCAAUAACA